GAUGAAGAAUGUAGCGAAAUGCGAUAAGUAAUGUGAAUUGCAGAAUUCAGUGAAUCAUCGAAUCUUUGAACGCACAUUGCGCCCCUUGGUAUUCCGAGGGGCAUGCCUGUUCGAGCGUCAUUAUAACCCCUCAAGCUCAGCUUGGUGUUGGGGCCUGCUGCACUGGCAGCCCUUAAAAUCAGUGGCGGCGCCAUCUGGCUCUAAGCGUAGUAAUUCUUCUCGCUAUGGAGUCCUGGUGGAUGCUUGCCAUCAACCCCCAAUUUUUCUAUGGUUGACCUCGGAUCAGGUAGGGAUACCCGCUGAACUUAAGCAUAUCAAUAAGCGGAGGA
RNAcentral lists this unclassified non-coding RNA (329 nucleotides) under soil metagenome. RNAcentral's name for it is "partial contains 5.8S ribosomal RNA, internal transcribed spacer 2, and large subunit ribosomal RNA". The stretch from base 1 to 120 matches the Rfam family "5.8S ribosomal RNA", at positions 35 to 154 of the family's 154-position model. The record is from RNAcentral.